This 492-nucleotide ribosomal RNA is filed under the name uncultured bacterium. RNAcentral describes it as "partial 16S ribosomal RNA". It matches the Rfam family "Bacterial small subunit ribosomal RNA", at positions 29 to 507 of the family's 1533-position model. The record is from RNAcentral.
AGUGAACGCUGGCGGUAGGCCUAACACAUGCAAGUCGAACGGCAGCACAGUAAGAGCUUGCUCUUACGGGUGGCGAGUGGCGGACGGGUGAGGAAUACAUCGGAAUCUACUUUUUCGUGGGGGAUAACGUAGGGAAACUUACGCUAAUACCGCAUACGACCUACGGGUGAAAGCAGGGGAUCUUCGGACCUUGCGCGAUUGAAUGAGCCGAUGUCGGAUUAGCUAGUUGGCGGGGUAAAGGCCCACCAAGGCGACGAUCCGUAGCUGGUCUGAGAGGAUGAUCAUCCACACUGGAACUGAGACACGGUCCAGACUCCUACGGGAGGCAGCAGUGGGGAAUAUUGGACAAUGGGCGGAAGCCUGAUCCAGCCAUACCGCGUGGGUGAAGAAGGCCUUCGGGUUGUAAAGCCCUUUUGUUGGGAAAGAAAAGCAGCAGGUUAAUACCCCGCUGUUCUGACGGUACCCAAAGAAUAAGCACCGGCUAACUUCGUG